GGUGAGCGCUGGCGGCGUGCCUAAUACAUGCAAGUCGAGCGAACGGACGAGAAGCUUGCUUCUCUGAUGUUAGCGGCGGACGGGUGAGUAACACGUGGAUAACCUACCUAUAAGACUGGGAUAACUUCGGGAAACCGGAGCUAAUACCGGAUAAUAUUUUGAACCGCAUGGUUCAAAAGUGAAAGACGGUCUUGCUGUCACUUAUAGAUGGAUCCGCGCUGCAUUAGCUAGUUGGUAAGGUAACGGCUUACCAAGGCAACGAUGCAUAGCCGACCUGAGAGGGUGAUCGGCCACACUGGAACUGAGACACGGUCCAGACUCCUACGGGAGGCAGCAGUAGGGAAUCUUCCGCAAUGGGCGAAAGCCUGACGGAGCAACGCCGCGUGAGUGAUGAAGGUCUUCGGAUCGUAAAACUCUGUUAUUAGGGAAGAACAUAUGUGUAAGUAACUGUGCACAUCUUGACGGUACCUAAUCAGAAAGCCACGGCUAACUACGUG
RNAcentral lists this ribosomal RNA (497 nucleotides) under uncultured bacterium. Its description in RNAcentral is "partial 16S ribosomal RNA". It matches the Rfam family "Bacterial small subunit ribosomal RNA", at positions 28 to 507 of the family's 1533-position model. The record is from RNAcentral.